UCCUUAUAACGAGCCGGGGGAGGAAACUGGUCUUUUGAUCCCGCAGCAACCUCUAUCAAAGUCAUAGAAGGUGCUCCUUCCAGCAGACCAUGGUCUGAAAGAUAAGGA
Molecule: non-coding RNA, 108 nt
Filed under: Halobacillus halophilus
Lineage: Bacteria; Bacillati; Bacillota; Bacilli; Caryophanales; Bacillaceae
Also listed under: 1 other name
Description: SAM-I sequence
Rfam family: SAM riboswitch aptamer (S box leader)
About the family: The SAM riboswitch is found upstream of a number of genes which code for proteins involved in methionine or cysteine biosynthesis in Gram-positive bacteria. The SAM riboswitch acts at the level of transcription termination control.
Source: RNAcentral